GAUGAACGCUGGCGGCGUGCCUAAUACAUGCAAGUCGAGCGAACAGACGAGGAGCUUGCUCCUCUGACGUUAGCGGCGGACGGGUGAGUAACACGUGGAUAACCUACCUAUAAGACUGGGAUAACUUCGGGAAACCGGAGCUAAUACCGGAUAAUAUAUUGAACCGCAUGGUUCCAUAGUGAAAGACGGUUUUGCUGUCACUUAUAGAUUGAUCCGCGCCGCAUUAGCUAGUUGGUAAGGUAACGGCUUACCAAGGCGACGAUGCGUAGCCGACCUGAGAGGGUGAUCGGCCACACUGGAACUGAGACACGGUCCAGACUCCUACGGGAGGCAGCAGUAGGGAAUCUUCCGCAAUGGGCGAAAGCCUGACGGAGCAACGCCGCGUGAGUGAUGAAGGUCUUCGGAUCGUAAAACUCUGUUAUUAGGGAAGAACAAAUGUGUAAGUAACUAUGCACGUCUUGACGGUACCUAAUCAGAAAGCCACGGCUAACUACGUG
This 497-nucleotide ribosomal RNA is filed under the name uncultured bacterium. RNAcentral's name for it is "partial 16S ribosomal RNA". It matches the Rfam family "Bacterial small subunit ribosomal RNA", at positions 28 to 507 of the family's 1533-position model. The record is from RNAcentral.